UUCAGCUUUGGGUGCUGACGGUGGGGG
This 27-nucleotide non-coding RNA is filed under the name Cricetulus griseus (Chinese hamster). The record is from RNAcentral. Lineage: Eukaryota; Metazoa; Chordata; Mammalia; Rodentia; Cricetidae.